GACGAACGCUGGCGGCGUGCUUAACACAUGCAAGUCGAACGGAAAGGCCCUGCUUUUGUGGGGUGCUCGAGUGGCGAACGGGUGAGUAACACGUGAGUAACCUGCCCUUGACUUUGGGAUAACUUCAGGAAACUGGGGCUAAUACCGGAUAGGAGCUCCUGCUGCAUGGUGGGGGUUGGAAAGUUUCGGCGGUUGGGGAUGGACUCGCGGCUUAUCAGCUUGUUGGUGGGGUAGUGGUUUACCAAGGCUUUGACGGGUAGCCGGCCUGAGAGGGUGACUGGCCACAUUGGGACUGAGAUACGGCCCAGACUCCUACGGGAGGCAGCAGUGGGGAAUAUUGCACAAUGGGCGGAAGCCUGAUGCAGCAACGCCGCGUGCGGGAUGACGGCCUUCGGGUUGUAAACCGCUUUCGCCUGUGACGAAGCGUGAGUGACGGUAAUGGGUAAAGAAGCACCGGCUAACUACGUG
Molecule: ribosomal RNA, 468 nt
Filed under: uncultured bacterium
Lineage: Bacteria
Description: partial 16S ribosomal RNA
Rfam family: Bacterial small subunit ribosomal RNA
Source: RNAcentral